RNAcentral lists this ribosomal RNA (492 nucleotides) under uncultured bacterium. RNAcentral's name for it is "partial 16S ribosomal RNA". It matches the Rfam family "Bacterial small subunit ribosomal RNA", at positions 29 to 507 of the family's 1533-position model. The record is from RNAcentral.
AGUGAACGCUGGCGGUAGGCCUAACACAUGCAAGUCGAACGGCAGCACAGUAAGAGCUUGCUCUUACGGGUGGCGAGUGGCGGACGGGUGAGGAAUACAUCGGAAUCUACUUUUUCGUGGGGGAUUACGUAGGGAAACUUACGCUAAUACCGCAUACGACCUACGGGUGAAAGCAGGGGAUCUUCGGACCUUGCGCGAUUGAAUGAGCCGAUGUCGGAUUAGCUAGUUGGCGGGGUAAAGGCCCACCAAGGCGACGAUCCGUAGCUGGUCUGAGAGGAUGAUCAGCAACACUGGAACUGAGACACGGUCCAGACUCCUACGGGAGGCAGCAGUGGGGAAUAUUGGACAAUGGGCGCAAGCCUGAUCCAGCCAUACCGCGUGGGUGAAGAAGGCCUUCGGGUCGUAAAGCCCUUUUGUUGGGAAAGAAAAGCAGCAGGUUAAUACCCCGCUGUUCUGACGGUACCCAAAGAAUAAGCACCGGCUAACUUCGUG